RNAcentral lists this ribosomal RNA (467 nucleotides) under uncultured bacterium. Its description in RNAcentral is "partial 16S ribosomal RNA". It matches the Rfam family "Bacterial small subunit ribosomal RNA", at positions 28 to 507 of the family's 1533-position model. The record is from RNAcentral.
GGCGAACGCUGGCGGCGUGCUUAACACAUGCAAGUCGAACGGAAAGGCCUCUUUCGGGGGGUACUCGAGUGGCGAACGGGUGAGUAACACGUGAGUAACCUGCCCUUGACUUUGGGAUAACUUCAGGAAACUGGGGCUAAUACCGGAUAGGAGCUCCUGCUGCAUGGUGGGGGUUGGAAAGUUUCGGCGGUUGGGGAUGGACUCGCGGCUUAUCAGCUUGUUGGUGGGGUAGUGGCUUACCAAGGCUUUGACGGGUAGCCGGCCUGAGAGGGUGACCGGCCACAUUGGGACUGAGAUACGGCCCAGACUCCUACGGGAGGCAGCAGUGGGGAAGAUUGCACAAGGGGUGGAAGCCUGAUGCAGCAACGCCGUGUGCGGGAUGACGGCCUUCGGGUUGUAAACCGCUUUCGCUCAUGACGAAGCUUUGUGUGACGGUAGUGGGUAAAGAAGCACCGGCUAACUACGUG